RNAcentral lists this ribosomal RNA (403 nucleotides) under Verrucomicrobiota bacterium. RNAcentral's name for it is "Verrucomicrobia bacterium partial 16S ribosomal RNA". It matches the Rfam family "Bacterial small subunit ribosomal RNA", at positions 355 to 776 of the family's 1533-position model. The record is from RNAcentral. Lineage: Bacteria; Pseudomonadati; Verrucomicrobiota.
UGGGGAAUAUUGCACAAUGGUGGAAACCCUGAUGCAGCGACGCCGCGUGAGCGAAGAAGGCUUUCGAGUCGUAAAGCUCUGUCCUAUGAGAAGAUAAUGACGGUAUCAUAGGAGGAAGCCCUGGCUAAAUACGUGCCAGCAGCCGCGGUAAUACGUAUGGGGCGAGCGUUGUCCGGAAUUAUUGGGCGUAAAGGGUACGUAGGUGGUUUUUUAAGUCAGGUGUCAAAGCGUGGAGCUUAACUCCAUUAAGCACUUGAAACUGAAAGACUUGAGUGAAGGAGAGGAAAGUGGAAUUCCUAGUGUAGCGGUGAAAUGCGCAGAUAUUAGGAAGAAUACCGGUGGCGAAGGCGACUUUCUGGUCAUCAUCUGACGCUGAGGUACGAAAGCGUGGGUAGCAAACAGG